This 261-nucleotide unclassified non-coding RNA is filed under the name uncultured fungus. Its description in RNAcentral is "partial contains small subunit ribosomal RNA, internal transcribed spacer 1, and 5.8S ribosomal RNA". The stretch from base 1 to 73 matches the Rfam family "Eukaryotic small subunit ribosomal RNA", at positions 1759 to 1831 of the family's 1831-position model. The record is from RNAcentral. Lineage: Eukaryota; Fungi.
GCAAACUUGGUCAUUUAGAGGAAGUAAAAGUCAUAACAAGGUUUCCGUAGGUGAACCUGCGGAAGGAUCAUUUGCGUGGGGGUUGCAUGAGAAGCCGAUCCGUCAACCCGACAGCAAGGCUCAGUUCAGCUUUGCUGUUGUCACCCAAGCAUCGUGAACCGUGGCUCCGGCCCAAACUCUUUGUAAUGGAUGUGAAAACUGUAACAGUAAACAACUUUCAACAACGGAUCUCUUGGCUCUCGCAUCGAUGAAGAACGCAGC